GAGCGAAUUCACUCAGAACUAACAAGAAUGAUAACAUGCUCCGACUGGAGCGGUUUAGGAACUGCUGGAAGGCUCUAGGGGAAUAAAGAUGGAAUGACUUCUAAUUUUUAGGUCCGUAUGAUUUGAAAUACUUGCACACAAACCACGCGAAAGCGUUCCUGGAAAUCUCAGCCCAAAAAAGGACGUUUAGUAAUUCUAAAAGGGACUACAGGAUGAAAAACAAUAGUUUUGGCAGUUAAAGUUUGAGAUUCGACAGUGCCGUAGAUCCGUUUGGUCAUCAGGUAUUACGAGCCACACCCAUGUCUAGCUAGAAUAGUGUGCUAGGCUCAGGCUAGAGAAGAAACGGGGAACAAACUGAUGAAAGAAUGAUCAAACCGAGGGAAUUCACUCAGAACUAACAAUAAUGAUAACGUGCUCCGACUGGUGCGGUUUAGGAACUGCUGGAAGGCUCUAGGGGAAUAAAGAUGGAAUGACUUCUAAUUUUUAGGUCCGUAUGAUUUGAAAUACUUGCACACAAACCGCGCGAAAGCGUUCCUGGAAAUCUCAGCCCAAAAAAGGACGUUUAGUAAUUUUAAAAGGGACUAUAGGAUGAAAAACAAUAGUUUUGGCAAUUAAAGUUUGAGAUUCGACGGUGUCGUAGAUCCGUUUGGUCAUCAGGUGUUACGAGCCACACCCAUGUCUAGCUAGAAUAGUAUGUCAGGCUCAGGUUAGAGUAGAAACGGGGAACAAACUGAUGAAAGAAUGAUCAUACCAAGGGAAUUCACUCAGAACUAUCAAGAAUGAUAACGUGCUCCGACUGGAGUGAUUUAGGAACUGCUGGAAGGCUCUAGGGGAAUAAAGAUGGAAUGACUUCUAAUUUUUACGUCCGUAUGAUUUGAAAUACUUGCACACAAAUCACGCAAAAGCGUUCCUGGAAAUCUCAGCCUAAAAAAGGACGUUUAGUAAUUCUAAAAGGGACUACAGGAUGAAAAACAAUAGUUUGGGCAGUUAAAAUUUGAGAUUCGACGGUGCCGUAGAUCCGUUUGGUCAUCAGGUGUUACGAGCGACACCCUUGUCUAGCUAGAAUAGUGUGUUAGGCUCAGACUAGAGAAGAAACGGGGAACAAAGUGAUGAAAGAAUGAUCAUACCGAGGGAAUUCACUCAGAACUAACAAGAAUGAUAACGUGCUCCGACUGGAGCGGUUUAGUAACUGCUGGAAGGCUCUAGGGGAAUGAAGAUGGAAUGACUUCUAAUUUUUAGGUCCGUAUGAUUUGAAAUACAUGCACACAAACCCUGAGAAAGCGUUCCUGGAAAUCUCGGUCGAAAAAAGGAUGUUUAAUAAUUCUAAAAGGGACUACCGGAUGAAAAACAAUAGUUUUGGCAGUUAAAGUUUGUGAUUCGAUGGUGCCGUAGAUCUGUUUGGUCAUCAGGUGUUACGAGCCACACCCAUGUCUAUCUAGAAUAGUGUGUUAGGCUCAGGCUAGAGCAGAAACGGGGAACAGACUUAUGAAAGAAUGAUCAUACCGAGGGAAUUCACUCAGAACUAACAAGAAUGAUAACGUGCUCCGACUGGCGCGGUUUAGGAACUGCUGGAAGGCUCUAGGGGAAUAAAGAUGGAAAGACUUCUAAUUUUUAGGUCCGUAUGAUUUGAAAUACUUGCACACAAACCGCACGAAAGCGUUCCUGGAAAUCUCAGCCUAAAAAGGAUGUUUAGUAAUUCUAAAAGGGACUACAAGAUGAAAAAUAAUAGUUUGGGCAGUUAAAAUUUGAGAUUCGACGAUGCCGUAGAUCCGUUUGGUCAUCAGGUGUUAUGAGCCACACCCAUGUCUAGCUAGAAUAGUGUGUUAGGCUCAGGCUAGAGAAGAAACGGGGAACAAACUGAUGAAAGAAUGAUCAUACCGAGGGAAUUCACUCAGAACUAACAAGAAUGAUAACGUGCUCCGACUGGAGCAGUUUAGAAACUGCUGGAAGGCUCUAAUGGAAUAAAGAUGGAAUGCCUUCAAAUUUCUAGGUCCGUAUGAUUUGAAAUACUUGCACACAAACCGCUCGAAAGCGUUCCUGGAAAUCUCAGCCCAAAAAAGGACGUUUAGUAAUUCUAAAAGGGACUACAGGAUGAAAAACAAUAGUUUUGGCAGUUAAAGUUUGAGAUUCGAUGGUGCCGUAGAUCCGUUUGGUCAUCAGGUGUAACGAGCCACACACAUGUCUAGCUAGAGUAGUGUGCUAGGCUCAGACUAGAGAAGAAACGGGGAACAAAGUGAUGAAAGAAUGAUCAUACCGAGGGAAUUCACUCAGAACUUACAAGAAUGAUAACGUGCUCCGACUGGAGCGCUUUAGUAACUGCUGGAAGGCUCUAGGCGAAUAAAGAUGGAAUGACUUCUAAUUUUUAGGUCCGUAUGAUUUGAAAUACUUGCACACAAACCACGCAAAACCGUUCCUAGAAAUCUCGGUCGAAAAAAGGACGUUUAGUAAUUCUAAAAGGGACUACAGGAUGAAAAACAAUAGUUUUGGCAGUUAAAGUUUGAGAUUCGAUGGUGCCGUAGAUCCGUUUGGUCAUCAGGUGUUACGAGCCACACCCAUGUCUAGCUAGAGUAGUGUGCUAGGUUCAGACUAGAGAAGAAACGGGGAACAAAGUGAUUAAAGAAUGAUCAUACCGAGGGAAUUCACUCAGAACUAACAAGAAUGAUAACGUGCUCCGACUGGAGCGGUUUAGGAACUGCUGGAAGGCUCUAGGGGAAUAAAGAUGGAAUGACUUCUAAUUUUUACGUCCGUAUGAUUUGAAAUACAUGCACACAAACCACGCAAAAGCGUUCCUGGAAAUCUCAGCCUAAAAAAGGACGUUUAGUAAUUCUAAAAGGGACUACAGGAUGAAAAAUAAUAGUUUGGGCAGUUAAAAUUUGAGAUUCGACGCUGCCGUAGAUCCGUUUGGUCAUCAGGUCUUACGAGCCACACCCAUGUCUAGCUAGAAUAGUGUGUUAGGCUCAGGCUAGAGAAGAAACGGGGAACAAACUGAUGAAAGAAUGAUCAUACCGAGGGAAUUCACUCAGAACUAACAAGAAUGAUAACGUGCUCCGACUGGAGCAGUUUAGAAACUCCUGGAAGGCUCUAGGGGAAUAAAGAUGGAAUGACUUCAAAGUUUUAGGUCCGUAUGAUUUGAAAUACUUGCACACAAACCGCGUGAAAGCGUUCCUGGAAAUCUCAACCCAAAAAAGGGCGUUUAGUAAUUCUAAAAGGGACUACAGGAUGUAAAACAAUAGUUUUGGCAGUUAAAGUUUGAGAUUCGAUGGUGCCGUAGAUCCGUUUGGUCAUCAGGUGUAACGAGCCACACCCAUGUCUAGCUAGAGUAGUGUGCUAGGCUCAGACUAGAGAAGAAACGGGGAACAAAGUGAUGAAAGAAUGAUCAUACCGAGGGAAUUCACUCAUAACUAACAAGAAUGAUAACGUGCUCUGACUUGAGCGGUUUAGGAACUGCUGGAAGGCUAUAGGGGAAUAAAGAUGGAAUGACUUCAAAUUUUUAGGUCCGUAUGAUCUGAAAUACUUGCACACAAACCGCGAGAAAGCGUUCCUGGAAAUCUCAACCCAAAAAAGGACGUUUAGUAAUUCUAAAAGGGACUACAGGAUGAAAAACAAUAGUUCUGGCAGUUAUUGUUUGAGAUUCGAUAAUCUCGUAGAUCCGUUUGGUCAUCAGGUGUAACGAGCCACACCCAUGUCUAGCUAGAGUAGUGUGCUAGGCUCAGACUAGAGAAGAAACGGGGAACAAACUGAUGAAAGAAUGAUCAUACCGAGGGAAUUCACUUAGAACUAACAAGAAUGAUAACGUGCUCCGACUGGAGCGGUUUAGGAACUGCUGGAAGGCUCUAGGGGAAUAAAGAAGGAACGACUUCUAAUUUUUAGGUCCGUAUGAUUUGAAAUAUGUGCACACAAACCACGAGAAAGCGUUCCUAGAAAUCUCGGCCCAAAAGAGGACGUUUAGUAUUCUAAAAGGGACUACAGAAUGAAAAACAAUAGUUUUGGCAGUUAAAGUUUGAGAUUUGACGGUGCCGUAGAUCUGUUUGGUCAUCAGGGGUUACGAGCCACACCCAUGUCUAGCUAGAAUAGUGUGUUAGGCUCAGGCUAGAAAAGAAACGGGGAACAAAGUGAUGAAAGAAUGAUCAUACCGAGGGAAUUCACUCAGAACUAACAAGAAUGAUAACAUGCUCCGACUGGAGCGGUUUAGGAACUGCUGGAAGGCUCUAGGGGAAUAAAGAUGGAAUGACUUCUAAUUUUUAGGUCCGUAUGAUUUGAAAUACUUGCACACAAACCGCGCGAAAGCGUUCCUGGAAAUCUCAGCCCAAAAAAGGACGUUUAGUAAUUCUAAAAGGGACUACAGGAUGAAAAACAAUAGUUUUGGCAGUUAAAGUAUGAGAUUCAACGGUGCCGUAGAUCCGUUUGGUCAUUAGGUGUUACGAGCCACACCCAUGUCUAGCUAGAAUAGUGUGCUAGGCUCAGGCUAGAGAAGAAACGGGGAACAAACUGAUGAAAGAAUGAUCAAACCGAGGGAAUUCACUCAGAACUAACAAUAAUGAUAACGUGCUCCGACUGGAGCGGUUUAGGAACUGCUGGAAGUCUCUAGGGGAAUAAAGAUGGAAUGACUUCUAAUUUUUACGUUCGUAUGAUUUGAAAAACUUGCCCAUAAACCGCGCGAAAGUGUUCCUGGAAAUCUCAGCCCAAAAAAGGACGUUUAGUAAUUUUAAAAGGGACUACACGAUGAAAAACAAUAGUUUUGGCAGGUAAAGUUUGAGAUUCGACAGUGCCGUAGAUCCGUUUGGUCAUCAGGUGUUACGAGCCACACCCAUGUCUAGCUAGAAUAGUAUGUUACGCUCAGGUUAGAGAAGAAACGGGGAACAAACUGAUGAAAGAUGAUCAUACCAAGGGAAUUCACUCAGAACUAACAAGAAUGAUAACGUGCUCCGACUGGAGCGGUUUAGGAACUGCUGGAAGGCUCUAGGGGAAUAAAGAUGGAAUGACUUCUAAUUUUUACGUCUGUAUGAUUUGAAAUACUUGCACACAAACAACGCAAAAGCAUUCCUGGAAAUCUCAUCCUAAAAAAGGACGUUUAGUAAUUCUAAAAGGGACUACAGGAUGAAAAAUAAUAGUUUGGGAAGUUAAAAUUUGAGAUUCGAUAGUGCCGUAGAUCCGUUUGGUCAUCAGGUGUUAGGAGCCACACCCAUGUCUAGCUAGAAUAGUGUGUUAGGCUCAGGCUAGAGAAGAAACAGGGAACAAACUGAUGAAAGAAUGAUCAUACCGAGGGAAUUCACUCAGAACUAGCAAGAAUGAUAACGUGCUCCGACUGGAGCAGUUUUGAAACUGCUGGAAGGCUCUAGGGGAAUAAUGAUGGAAUGACUUCUAAGUUUUUGGUCCGUAUGAUUUGAAAUACGUGCACACAAACCCAGAGAAAGUGUUCUUGGAAAUCUCGGCCGAAAAAAGGAUGUUUAAUAAUUCUAAAAGGGACUACAGGAUGAAAAACAAUAGUUUUGGCAGUUAAAGUUUGUGAUUCGAUGGUGCUGUAGAUCUGUUUGGUCAUCAGGUGUUAUGAGCCACACCCAUGUCUAGCUAGAACAGUGUGUUAGGCUCAGGCUAGAGCAGAAACGGGGAACAAACUUAUGAAAGAAUGAUCAUACCGAGGGAAUUCACUCAGAACUAACAAGAAUGAUAACGUGCUCCGACUGGAGAGGUUUAGGAACUGCUGGAAGGCUCUAGGGGAAUAAAGAUGGAAUGACUUCAAAUUUUUAGGUCUGUAUGAUCUGAAAUACUUGCACACAAACCGCGAGAAAGCGUUCCUGGAAAUCUCAGCCCAAAAAAGGACGUUUAGUGAUUCUAAAAGGGACUACGGGAUAAAAAACAAUAGUUUUGGCAGUUAAAGUUUGAGAUUCGAUAAUGCCGUAGAUCCGUUUGGUCAUCAGGUGUAACGAGCCACACCCAUGUCUAGCUAGAGUAGUGUGCUAGGCUCAUACUAGAGAAGAAAUGGGGAACAAACUGAUGAAAGAAUGAUCAUACCGAGGGAGUUCACUCAAAACUAACAUGAAUGAUAACGUGCUCCGACUGGAGCGGUUUAGGAACUGCUGGAAGGCUCUAGGGGAAUAAAGAUGGAAUGACUUCUAAUUUUUAGGUCCGUAUGAUUUGAAAUACAUGCACACAAACCCCAAGAAAGCGUUCCUGGAAAUCUCGCCCCGAAAAACGACGUUUAGUAAUUCUAAAAGGGACUAUAGGAUGAAAAACAAUAGUUUUGGCAGUUAAAGUUUGAGAUUUGACGGUGCCGUAGAUCUGUUUGGUCAUCAGGUGUUACGAGCCACACCCAUUUCUAGCUAGAAUAGUGUGUUAGGCUCAGGCUAGAAAAGAAACGGGGAACAAAGUGAUGAAAGAAUGAUCAUACCGAGGGAAUUCACUCAGAACUAACAAGAAUGAUAACAUGGUCCGACUGGAGCGGUUUAGGAACUGCUGGAAGGCUCUAGGGGAAUAAAGAUGGAAUGACUUCUAACUUUUAGGUCCGUAUGAUUUGAAUUACUUGCACACAAACCGCGCGAAAGCGUUCCUGGAAAUCUCAGCCCAAAAAAGGACGUUUAGUAAUUCUAAAAGGGACUACAGGAUGAAAAACAAUAGUUUUGGCAGUUAAAGUUUGAGAUUCGACGGUGCCGUAGAUCCGUUUGGUCAGCAGGUGUUACGAGCCACACCCAUGUCUAGCUAGAGUAGUGUGCUAGGUUCAGACUAGAGAAGAAAUGUUGGGGAACGUAGCAGAAAUUCAAAAUUUUCCUACGUGUCACCAAGAUCUAUCUAUGGAGAGACUAGCAACGAGGGAAGGAGAGUGCAUCUACAUACCCUUGUAGAUCGCUAAGCGGAAGCGUUCAAGUGAACGGGGUUGAUGGAGUCGUACUCGUCGUGAUUCAGCUCACCGAUGAUCCUAGUGCCGAACGGACGGCACCUCCGCGUUCAACACACGUACAGCUCGACGAUGUCUCCCACGCCUUGAUCCAGCAAGGAGAGAGGGAGAGGUUGAGGAAGACUCCAUCCAGCAGAAGCACAACGGCGUGGUGGUGAUGGAGGAGCAUGGCAAUCCUGCAGGGCUUCGCCAAGCACCUAUGGGAGAGGAGGAGGUGUCACGGGAGGGAGGGAGGCGCCAAGGGCUCAGGUAUAGAUGCCCUCCCUCCCCUCCACUAUAUAUAGGGGCAAGGGAGAGGGGGGAGGCGCAGCCUUGCCCCUUCCUCCAAGGAAGGGGUGCGGCUAAGAGGGGGGGAGGAGUCCAUCCUCCCCAAGGCACCUCGGAGGUGCCUUCCCCCUUUAGGACUCUCCCCUUUUUCCUAUAUCUUGGCGCAUGGGCCUCUAGGGGCUGGUUCCCUUGGCCCAUGUAGGCCCAGGCGCACCCCCUACAGCCCAUGUGGCCCCCCGGGGCAGGUGGCCCCACCUGGUGGGCCCCCGGGACCCUUCCGGUGGUCCCGGUACAAUACCGAUGACCCCGAAACUUGUCCCGAUGGCCGAAACAGGACUUCCUAUAUAUAAAUCUUUACCUCCGGACAAUUCCGGAACUCCUCGUGACGUCCGGGAUCUCAUCCGGGACUCCGAACAACAUUCGGUAACCACAUACAAACUUCCUUUAUAACCCUAGCGUCAUCGAACCUUAAGUGUGUAGACCCUACGGGUUCGGGAGACAUGUAGUCAUGACCGAGAUGUUCUCCGGUCAAUAACCAACAGCGGGAUCUGGAUACCCAUGUUGGCUCCCACAUGUUCCACGAUGAUCUCAUCGGAUGAACCACGAUGUCAAGGACUCAAUCAAUCCCGUAUACAAUUCCCUUUGUCUAGCGGUAUGGUACUUGCCCGAGAUUCGAUCGUCGGUAUACCGAUACCUUGUUCAAUCUCGUUACCGGCAAGUCUCUUUACUCAUUUCGUAACACAUCAUCCCGUGAUCAACCCCUUGGUCACAUUGUGCACAUUAUGAUGAUGUCCUACCGAGUGGGCCCAGAGAUACCUCUCCGUUUACACGGAGUGACAAAAUCCCAAUCUCGAUUCGUGCCAACCCAACAGACACUUUCAGAGAUACCCGUAGUGUACCUUUACAGCCACCCAGUUACGUUGUGACGUUUGGCACACCCAAAGCACUCCUACAGUAUCCGGGAGUUGCACAAUCUCAUGGUCUAAGGAAAUGAUACUUGACAUUAGAAAAGCUUUAGCAUACGAACUACAUGAUCUUGUGCUAGGCUUAGGAUUGGGUCUUGUCCAUCACAUCAUUCUCCUAAUGAUGUGAUCCCGUUAUCAACGACAUCCAAUGUCCAUGGUCAGGAAACCGUAACCAUCUAUUGAUUAACGAGCUAGUCAACUAGAGGCUUACUAGGGACAUGGUGUUGUCUAUGUAUCCACACAUGUAUCUAAGUUUCCUAUCAAUACAAUUCUAGCAUGGAUAAUAAACGAUUAUCAUGAACAAGGAAAUAUAAUAAUAAUCAAUUUAUUAUUGCCUCUAGGGCAUAUUUCCAACAGUCUCCCACUUGCACUAGAGUCAAUAAUCUAGUUCACAUCGAUAUGUGAUUAACACUCAAGGUCACAUUCCCAUGUGACUAACACCCAAGAGUUUACUAGAGUCAAUAAUCUAGUUCACAUUUACCAUGUGAUUAACACUUGAUGAGUUCUGGGUUUGAUCAUGUUAUGCUUGUGAGAGAGGUUAUAGUCAACGGGUCUGAACCUUUCAGAUCCGUGUGUGCUUUACAAAUCUCUAUGUCAUCUCCUAGAUGCAGCUACCACGUUCUAUUUGGAGCUAUUCCAAAUAACUGUUCUACUUGGAGCUAUUCUAAAUUGUUGCUCCAUUAUACGUAUCCGGUAUCUCUACUCAGAGCUAUCCGGAUAGGUGUUAAGCUUGCAUCGACGUAACCCUUUACGACGAACUCUUUUACCACCUCCAUAAUUGAGAAAAUUCCUUAGUCCACUAGUUACUAAGGAUAACUUUGACCGCUGUCCUGUGAUCCAUUCUUGGAUCACUCUUGUACCCCUUGACUGACUCAUGGUAAAGCACACUUCAGGUGCGGUACACAGCAUAGCAUACUGUAGAGCCUAUGUCUUAAGCAUAGGGGACGACCUUCGUUCCUUUCUCUCUAUUCUGCCAUGGUCGAGCUUUAAGUCUUAACUUCAUACCUUACAACUCAGGCAAGAACUCCUUCUUUGACUGAUCCAUCUUGAACACCUUCAAGAUCACGUCAAGGCAUGUGCUCACGUCAAGAUCACGUCGGUAUACCGAUACCUUGUUCAAUCUCGUUACCGGCAAGUCUCUUUACUCGUUCCGUAACACAUCAUCCCGUGAUCAACCCCUUGGUCACAUUGUGCACAUUAUGAUGAUGUCCUACCGAGUGGGCCCAGAGAUACCUCUCCGUUUACACGGAGUGACAAAAUCCCAAUCUCGAUUCGUGCCAACCCAACAGACACUUUCAGAGAUACCCGUAGUGUACCUUUAUAGCCACCCAGUUACGUUGUGACGUUUGGCACACCCAAAGCACUCCUACGGUAUCCGGGAGUUGCACAAUCUCAUGGUCUAAGGAAAUGAUACUUGACAUUAGAAAAGCUUUAGCAUACGAACUACAUGAUCUUGUGCUAGGCUUAGGAUUGGGUCUUGUCCAUCACAUCAUUCUCCUAAUGAUGUGAUCCCGUUAUCAACGACAUCCAAUGUCCAUGGUCAGGAAACCGUAACCAUCUAUUGAUUAACGAGCCAGUCAACUAGAGGCUUACUAGGGACAUGGUGUUGUCUAUGUAUCCACACAUGUAUCUGAGUUUCCUAUCAAUACAAUUCUAGCAUGGAUAAUAAACGAUUAUCAUGAACAAGGAAAUAUAAUAAUAAUCAAUUUAUUAUUGCCUCUAGGGCAUAUUUCCAACAGUCUCCCACUUGCACUAGAGUCAAUAAUCUAGUUCACAUCACCAUGUGAUUAACACUGACAGGUCACAUCACCAUGUGACCAACAUCCAAAGAGUCUUGGGUUUGAUCAUGUUGCUUGUGAGAGAGGUUAUAGUCAACGGGUCUGAACCUUUCAGAUCCGUGUGUGCUUUACAAAUCUCUAUGUCAUCUCCUAGAUGCAGCUACCACGUUCUAUUUGGAGCUAUUCCAAAUAACUGUUCUACUUGGAGCUAUUCUAAAUUGUUGCUCCAUUAUACGUAUCCGGUAUCUCUACUCAGAGCUAUCCGGAUAGGUGUUAAGCUUGCAUCGACGUAACCCUUUACGACGAACUCUUUUACCACCUCCAUAAUUGAGAAAAUUCCUUAGUCCACUAGUUACUAAGGAUAACUUUGACCGCUGUCCUGCGAUCCAUUCUUGGAUCACCCUUGUACCCCUUGACUGACUCAUGGUAAAGCACACUUCAGGUGCGGUACACAGCAUAGCAUACUGUAGAGCCUAUGUCUUAAGCAUAGGGGAUGACCUUCGUUCCUUUCUCUCUAUUCUGCCAUGGUCGAGCUUUAAGUCUUAACUUCAUACCUUACAACUCAGGCAAGAACUCCUUCUUUGACUGGUCCAUCUUGAACACCUUCAAGAUCAUGUCAAGGUAUGUGCUCAUUUGAAAGUACUAUUAAGCGUUUUGAUCUAUCCUUAUAGAUCUUGAUGCUCAAUGUUCAAGUAGCUUAAUCCAGGUUUUCCAUUGAAAACACUUUCCAAAUAACCCUAUAUGCUUUCCAGAAAUUCUACGUCAUUUCUGAUCAUUAAUAUGUCAACAACAUAUAAUCAUCAGAAAUUCUAUAGUGCUCCCACUCACUUCUUUGGAAAUACAAGUUUCUCAUAAACUUUGUAUACACCCAAAAUCUUUGAUCAUCAUCAAAGCAUACAUUCCAACUCCGAGAUGCUCACUCCAGUCCUCAGAAGGAUUGCUGGAGCUUUGCAUACUUAUUAGCAUAUUUCAGGAUAGACAAAACCUUCCAGUUGUAUCACAUACAACCUUUCCUCAAGAAUCGUCGACGAAACAAUGUUUUGACAUCCUAUCUGCAAGAUUUCAUAAAUAAUGCAGUAAUUGUUAAUAUAAUUCCAACAGACUCUUAGCAUCGCUACGAGUGAGAAAGUCUCAUUGUAGUCAACUCCUUGAACUUGUCAAAAAACAUCUUAACGACAAGUCGAGCUUUCUCAAUGGUGACACUUACCAUCAUUGUCUGUCUUCCUUUCAAAAUCCAUAUGUACCUAACAGCCUUACGACCAUCAAGUAGUUCUUCCAAAGUCUACACUUUGUUUUCAUACAUGGAUCCUCUCUCGGGUUUUAUGGCCAUGAGCCAUUUAUCGGAAUCCGGGCCCACCAUUGCUUCUCCAUAGCUCGUAGGUUCAUUGUUGUCUAGCAACAUGACUUCCAAGACAGGAUUACUGUACCACUCUGAAGUAGUACGUAUCCUUGUCACCCUACGAGGUUUGGGAGUGACUUGAUCUGAAGUUUCAUGAUCACUAUCAUAAGCUUCUACUUCAAUUGGUGUAGGUGCCACAGGAACAACUUCCUGUGCCCUGCUACACACUGGUUGAAGUGAUGGUUCAAUAACCUCAUCAAGUCUCCACCAUCCUCCCACUCAAUUCUUUCGAGAGAAACCUUUCCUCGAGAAAGGACCCAAUUCUAGAAACAAUUCAUAUUGCUUUCGGAUCUGAAUUAGGAAGUAUACCCAACUGUUUUGGGUGUCCUAUGAAGAUGUACUUUAUCCGCUUUGGUUUCGAGCUUAAUCCUGAAACUUUUUCACAUAAGUGUCGCAGCCCCAAACCUUUAAGAAACGACAACUUAGGUUUCUCUAAACCAUAAUUCAUACGGUGUCAUCUCAUCGGAAUUACGUGGUGCCCUAUUUAAAGUGAAUGUGGUUGUCUUUAAUGCCUAACCCAUAAACUAUCGUGGCAGUUCGAUAAGAGACAUCAUGGUAUGCAUCAUAUCCAAUAGGGUGCAACUAUGAUGUUCGGACACACCAUCACACUAUGGUGUUCCAGGCGGUAUUAAUUGUGAAACAAUUUCCACAAUGUCUUAAUUGUGUGCCAAAACUCGUAACUCAGAUACUCAUCUCUAUGAUCAUAUCAUAGACAUUUUAUCCUCUUGUCACAAUGAUCUUCUACUUCACUCUGAAAUUACUUGAACCAUUCAACAAUUCAGACUUGUGUUUCAUCAAGUAAAUAUUCUCAACAUCUACUCGAAUCAUCUGUGAAGUAAGAACAUAACGAUAUUCACUGCAUGCCUCAGCACUCAUUGGACUGCACACAUCAAAAUGUGUUACUUCCAACAAGUUGCUAUCUUGUUCCAUCUUACUGAAAACGAGGCUUUUCAGUCAUCUUGCCCAUGUGGUAUGAUUUGCAUGUCCCAAGUGAUUCAAAAAUCAAGUGAGUCAAAACGGUCCAUUUGCAUGGAGUUUCUUCAUGCAUAUACACCAAUAGACAUGGUUCGCAUGUCUCAAACUUUUCAAAAACGAGUGAGCCCAAAGAUCCAUCAAUAUGGAGCUUCUUCAUGCGUUUUAUACCGAUAUGACUUACGUGGUAGUGCCACAAGUAGGUGGUACUAUCAUUACUAUCUUUUGGCAUGAACAUGUGUAUCACUACGAUCGAGAUUUAAUAAACCAUUCAUUUUAGGUGUAAGACCAUUGAAGGUAUUAUUCAAAUAAACAGAGUAACCAUUAUUCUCCUUAAAUGAAUAACCGUAUUGCGAUAGACGUAAUCCAAUCAUGUCUAUGCUCAACGCAAACACCAAAUAACAAUUAUUUAGGUUUAACACCAAUCUCUUUGGUAGAGGGAGCGUGCGAUGCUUGAUCAUAUCAAGCAUGGAAAAACUUACAACACAUAUCGUCAGCUCACCUUUAGCUAGUCUCUGUUUAUUCCGUAGCCUUUUGUUUCGAGUUACUAACACUUAGCAACCGAACUGGUAUCUAAUACCCUGGUGCUACUAGGAGUACUAGCAAAGUACACAUUAACACAAUGUAUAUCCAAUAUACUUCUAUCGACCUUGCCAGCCUUCUUAUCUACCAAGUAUCUAGGGUAAUUCUGCUCUAGUAGUUGUUCCCCUUAUUACAGAAGCACUUAGUCUCGGGUUUGGGUUUUACCUUGGGUUUCUUCACUAGAGCAGCAGCUGAUUUGCCGUUUCAUGAAGUAUCCCUUCUUGCCCUUGCCCUUCUUGAAACUAGUGGUUCCACCAACCAUCAACAAUUGAUGCUCCUUCUUGAUUUCUACUUUCGCGGUGUCAAACAUCGCGAAUACCUCAAGGAUCAUCAUAUCUAUCCCUGAUAUGUUAUAGUUCAUCAUGAAGCUCUAACAGCUUGGUGGCAAUGACUUUGGAGAACCAUCACUAUCUCAUCUGGAAGAUCAACUCCCACUCGAUUCAAGCGAUUGUUGUACUCAGACAAUCUGAGCACAAGCUCAACGAUUGAGCUUUUCUCCCUUAGUUUGCAGGUUAAGAAAGUCAUCGGAGGUCUUAUACCUCUUGACAUGGGCACGAGCCUGAAAUCCCAAUUUCAGCCCUCAAAACAUCUCAUAUGUUUCGCGAUGUUUCAAAAACGUCUUUGGUGCCUCAACUCUAAACCGUUUAACUGAACUAUCACGUAGUUAUCAAAACGUGUAUGUCAGAUGUUCGCAACAACCACAGACAACGUUCGAGGUUCAGCACACUGAGCGGUGCAUUAAGGACAUAAGCCUUCUAUGAAGCAAUGAGGACAAUCCUCAGUUUACGGACCUAGUCCGCAUAAUUGCUACUAUCAACUUUCAACUAAUUUUUCUCUAGGAACAUAUCUAAACAGUAGAACUAUAGCGUGAGCUACGACAUAAUUUGCAAAAACCUUUUGACUAUGUUCAGGAUAAUUAAGUUCAUCUUAUGAACUCCCACUCAGAUAGACAUCCCUCUAGUCAUCUAAGUGAUUACAUGAUCCGAGUCAAACUAGGCCGUGUCCGAUCAUCACGUGAGACGGACUAGUCAUCAUCGGUGAACAUCUUCAUGUUGAUCGUAUCUUCUAUACGACUCAUGUUCGACCUUUCGGUCUUCGUGUUCCGAGGCCAUGUAUGUACAUGCUAGGCUCGUCAAGUUAACCCUAAGUGUUUCGCGUGUGUAAAUCUGUCUUACACCCGUUGUAUGUGAACGUUAGAAUCUAACACCCGAUCAUCACGUGGUGCUUCGAAACACGAACUGUCGCAACGGUGCACAGUUAGGGGAGAACACUUCUUGAAAUUGUUGUAAGGGAUCAUCUUAUUUACUACCGUCGUUCUAAGCAAAUAAGAUGUAUAAACAUGAUAAACAUCACAUGCAAUCAAAUAGUGACAUGAUAUGGCCAUCAUCACUUUGCUCCUUUUGAUCUCCAUCUUCGGGGCUCCAUGAUCAUCAUCGUCACCGGCAUGACACCAUGAUCUCCAUCAUCAUGAUCUCCAUCAUCGUGUCUUCAUGAAGUUGCCUCGCCAACUAUUACUUCUACUACUAUGGCUAACGGUUAGCAAUAAAGUAAAGUAAUUACAUGACGUUUAAGUUGACACGCAGGUCACAAAUGAAUAAAGACAACUCCUAUGGCUCCUGCCGGUUGUCAUACUCAUCGACAUGCAAGUCGUGAUUCCUAUUACAAGAACAUGAUCAAUCUCAUACAUCACAUAUAUCAUUCAUCACAUCCUUUUUGGCCAUAUCACAUCACAUAGCAUACCCUGCAAAAACAAGUUAGACGUCCUCUAAUUGUUGUUUGCAUGUUUUACGUGGCUGCUAUGGGUUUCUAGCAAGAACGUUUCUUACCUACGCAUGAACAACAACGUGAUAUGCCAAUUGCUAUUUACCCUUCAUAAGGACCCUUUUCAUCGAAUCCGAUCCGACUAAAGUGGGAGAGACAGACACCCGCCAGCCACCUUAUGCAACUAGUGCAUGUUUGUCGGUGGAACCGGUCUCACGUAAGCGUACGUGUAAGGUUGGUCCGGGCCGCUUCAUCCCACGAUGCCGCCGAAUCAAGAUAAGACUAGUAACGGCAAGCAUAUUGAACAAUAUCAACGCCCACAACUACUUUGUGUUCUACUCGUGCAAAGAAUCUACGCAAUAGACCUAGCUCAUGAUGCCACUGUUGGGGAACGUAGCAGAAAUUCAAAAUUUUCCUACGUGUCACCAAGAUCUAUCUAUGGAGAUACUAGCAACGAGGGAAGGAGAGUGCAUCUACAUACCCUUGUAGAUCGCUAAGCGGAAGCGUUCAAGUGAACGGGGUUGAUGGAGUCGUACUCGUCGUGAUUCAGAUCACCGAUGAUCCUAGUGCCGAACGGACGGCACCUCCGCGUUCAACACACGUACAGCUCGACGAUGUCUCCCACGCCUUGAUCCAGCAAGGAGAGAGGGAGAGGUUGAGGAAGACUCCAUCCAGCAGCAGCACAACGGCGUGGUGGUGAUGGAGGAGCGUGGCAAUCCUGCAGGGCUUCGCCAAGCACCUACGGGAGAGGAGGAGGUGUCACGGGAGGGAGGGAGGCGCCAAGGGCUCAGGUAUAGAUGCCCUCCCUCCCCUCCACUAUAUAUAGGGGCAAGGGAGAGGGGGAGGCGCAUCCUUGCCCCUUCCUCCAAGGAAGGGGUGCGGCUAAGAGGGGGGGAGGAGUCCAUCCUCCCCAAGGCACCUCGGAGGUGCCUUCCCCCUUUAGGACUCUCCCCUUUUUCCUAUAUCUUGGCGCAUGGGCCUCUAGGGGCUGGUGCCCUUGGCCCAUGUAGGCCAAGGCGCACCCCCCUACAGCCCAUGUGGCCCCCCGGGGCAGGUGGCCCCACCCGGUGGGCCCCCGGGACCCUUCCGGUGGUCCCGGUACAAUACCGAUGACCCCGAAACUUGUCCCGAUGGCCGAAACAGGACUUCCUAUAUAUAAAUCUUUACCUCCGGACCAUUCCGGAACUCCUCGUGACGUCCGGGAUCUCAUCCGGGACUCCGAACAACAUUCGGUAACCACAUACAAACUUCCUUUAUAACCCUAGCGUCAUCGAACCUUAAGUGUGUAGACCCUACGGGUUCGGGAGACAUGUAGUCAUGACCGAGAUGUUCUCCGGUCAAUAACCAACAGCGGGAUCUGGAUACCCAUGUUGGCUCGCACAUGUUCCACGAUGAUCUCAUCGGAUGAACCACGAUGUCAAGGACUCAAUCAAUCCCGUAUACAAUUCCCUUUGUCUAGCGGUAUGGUACUUGCCCGAGAUUCGAUCGUCGGUAUACCGAUACCUUGUUCAAUCUCGUUACCGGCAAGCCUCUUUACUCGUUCCGUAACACAUCAUCCCGUGAUCAACCCCUUGGUCACAUUGUGCACAUUAUGAUGAUGUCCUACCGAGUGGGCCCAGAGAUACCUCUCCGUUUACACGGAGUGACAAAAUCCCAAUCUCGAUUCGUGCCAACCCAACAGACACUUUCAGAGAUACCCGUAGUGUACCUUUAUAGCCACCCAGUUACGUUGUGACGUUUGGCACACCCAAAGCACUCCUACGGUAUCCGGGAGUUGCACAAUCUCAUGGUCUAAGGAAAUGAUACUUGACAUUAGAAAAGCUUUAGCAUACGAACUACAUGAUCUUGUGCUAGGCUUAGNNNNNNNNNNUGAUCAACCCCUUGGUCACAUUGUGCACAUUAUGAUGAUGUCCUACCGAGUGGGCCCAGAGAUACCUCUCCGUUUACACGGAGUGACAAAAUCCCAAUCUCGAUUCGUGCCAACCCAACAGACAUUUUCAGAGAUACCCGUAGUGUACCUUUAUAGCCACCCAGUUACGUUGUGACGUUUGGCACACCCAAAGCACUCCUACGGUAUCCGGGAGUUGCACAAUCUCAUGGUCUAAGGAAAUGAUACUUGACAUUAGAAAAGCUUUAGCAUACGAACUACAUGAUCUUGUGCUAGGCUUAGGAUUGGGUCUUGUCCAUCACAUCAUUCUCCUAAUGAUGUGAUCCCGUUAUCAACGACAUCCAAUGUCCAUGGUCAGGAAACCGUAACCAUCUAUUGAUUAACGAGCUAGUCAACUAGAGGCUUACUAGGGACAUGGUGUUGUCUAUGUAUCCACACAUGUAUCUGAGUUUCCUAUCAAUACAAUUCUAGCAUGGAUAAUAAACGAUUAUCAUGAACAAGGAAAUAUAAUAAUAAUCAAUUUAUUAUUGCCUCUAGGGCAUAUUUCCAACAAGAAACGGGGAACAAACUGAUGAAAGAAUGAUCAUACCGAGGGAAUUCACUCAGAACUAACAAGAAUGAUAACGUGCUUUGACUGGAGCGGUUUAAAAACUGCUGGAAGGCUCUAGGGGAAUAAAGAUGGAAUGCCUUCAAAUUUCUAGGUCCGUAUGAUUUGAAAUACUUGCACACAAACCGCGCGAAAGCGUUCCUGGAAAUCUCAGCCCAAAAAAGGACGUUUAGUAAUUCUAAAAGGGACUACAGAAUGAAAAACAAUAGUUUUGGCAGUUAAAGUUUGAGAUUCGAUGGUGCCGUAGAUCCGUUUGGUCAUCAGGUGUAACGAGCCACACCCAUGUCUAGCUAGAGUAGUGUGCUAGGCUCAGGCUAGAGAAGAAACGGGGAACAAACUGAUGAAAGAAUGAUCAUACCGAGGGAAUUCACUCAGAACUAACAAGAAUGAUAACGUGCUCCGACUGGAGCGGUUUAGGAACUGCUGGAAGGCUCUAGGGGAAGAAAGAAGGAAUGACUUCUAAUUUUUAGGUCCGUAUGAUUUGAAAUACGUGCACACAAACCGCGCGAAAGCGUUCCUGGAAAUCUCAGCCCAAAAAAGGACGUUUAGUAUUCUAAAAGGGACUACAGAAUGAAAAACAAUAGUUUUGGCAGUUAAAGUUUGAGAUUCGACGGUGCCGUAGAUCCGUUUGGUCAUCAGGUGUUACGAGCCACACCCAUGUCUAGCUAGAAUAGUGUGCNNNNNNNNNNNNNNNNNNNNNNNNNCGUAUGAUUUGAAAUACGUGCACACAAACCGCGCGAAAGCGUUCCUGGAAAUCUCAGCCCAAAAAAGGACGUUUAGUAUUCUAAAAGGGACUACAGAAUGAAAAACAAUAGUUUUGGCAGUUAAAGUUUGAGAUUCGACGGUGCUGUAGAUCCGUUUGGUCAUCAGGUGUUACGAGCCACACCCAUGUCUAGCUAGAAUAGUGUGCUAGGCUCAGGCUAGAGAAGAAAAGGGGAACAAACUAAUGAAAGAAUGAUCAAUACGAGGGAAUUCACUCAGAACUAACAAUAAUGAUAACGUGCUCCGACUGGAGCGGUUUAGGAACUGCUGGAAGGCUCUAGGCGAAUAAAGAUGGAAUGACUUCUAAUUUUUACGUCCGUAUGAUUUGAAAUACUUGCACACAAACCACGCAAAAGCGUUCCUGGAAAUCUCGGCCUAAAAAGGACGUUUAGUAAUUCUAAAAGGGACUACAGGAUGAAAAAUAAUAGUUUGGGCAGUUAAAAUUUGAGAUUCGACGGUGCCGUAGAUCCGUUUGGUCAUCAGGUGUUACGAGCCACACCCAUGUCUAGCUAGAAUAGUGUGUUAGGCUCAGGCUAGAGAAGAAACGAGGAACAAACUGAUGAAAGAAUGAUCAUACCAAGGGAAUUCACUCAGAACUAACAAGAAUGAUAACGUGCUCCGACUGGAGCAGUUUAGAAACUGCUGGAAGGCUCUAGGGGAAUAAAGAUGGAAUGACUUCUGAUUUUUAGGUCCGUAUGAUUUGAAAUACGUGCACACAAACCCCGCGAAAGCGUUCCUGGAAAUCUCAGCCCAAAAAAGGACGUUUAGUAAUUCUAAAAGGGACUACAACAUGAAAAACAAUAGUUUUGGCAGUUAAAGUUUGAGAUUUCAUGGUGCCGUAGAUCUGUUUGGUCAUCAGGUGUUACGAGCCACACCCAUGUCUAGCUAGAAUAGUGUGUUAGGCUCAGGCUAGAAAAGAAACGGGAAACAAAGUGAUGAAAGAAUGACCAUACCGAGGGAAUUCACUCAGAACUAACAAGAAUGAUAACAUGCUCCGACUUGAGCGGUUUAGGAACUGCUGGAAGGCUCUAGGGGAAUAAAGAUGGAAUGACUUCUAAUGUUUAGGUCCGUAUGAUUUGAAAUACUUGCACAUAAACCGCACAAAAGCGUUCCUGGAAAUCUCAGCCCAAAAAAGGACGUUUAGUAAUUCUAAAAGGGACUACAGGAUGAAAAACAAUAGUUUUGGCAGUUAAAGUUUGAGAUUCGACGGUGCCGUAGAUCCGUUUGGUCAUCAGGUGUUACGAGCCACACCCAUGUCUAGCUAGAAUAGUGUGUUAGGCUCAGGCUAGAGAAGAAACUUGGAACAAACUGAUGAAAGAAUGAUCAAACCAACGGAAUUCACUCAGAACUAACAAUAAUGAUAACGUGCUCCGACUGGAGCAGUUUAGGAACUGCUGGAAGGCUCUAGGGGAAUAAAGAUGGAAUGACUUCUAAUUUUUAGGUCCGUAUGAUUUGAAAUACUUGCACGCAAACCGCGCGAAAGCGUUCCUGGAAAUAUCAGCCCAAAAAAGGACGUUUAGUAAUUCUAAAAGGGACUACAGGAUGAAAACAAUAGUUUUGGCAGUUAAAGUUUGAGAUUCAACAGUGCCGUAGAUCCGUUUGGUCAUCAGGUGUUAUGAGCCAUACCCAUGUCUAGCUAGAGUAGUGUGCUAGGCUCAGGCUAGAGAAGAAACAGGGAACAAACUGAUGAAAGAAUGAUCAUACCGAGGGAAUUCACUCAGAACUAACAAGAAUGAUAACGUGCUCCGACUGGAGCGGUUUAGGAACUGCUGGAAGGCUCUAGGGGAAUAAAGAUGGAGUGACUUCUAAAUUUUUAGGUCCGUAUGAUUUAAAAUACUUGCACACAAACCGCACGAAAGCGUUCCUUGAAAUCUCAGCCCAAAAAAGGACGUUUAGUAAGUCUAAAAGGGACUAUAGGAUGAAAAACAAUAGUUUUGGCAGUUAAAGUUUGAGAUUCGAUGGUGCCGUAGAUCUGUUUGGUCAUCAGGUGUUACGAGCCACACCCAUGUCUAGUUGGAAUAGUGUGCUAGGCUCAGACUAGAGAAGAAACAGGGAACAAACUGAUGAAAGAAUGAUCAAACCGAGGAAAUUCACUCAGAACUAACAAUAAUGAUAACAUGCUCCGACUGGAGCGGUUUAGGAACUGCUGGAAGGCUCUAGGGGAAUAAAGAUGGAAUGACUUCUAAAUUUUUAGGUCCGUAUGAUUUGAAAUAGUUGCACACAAACUGCGCGAAAGCGUUCCUGGAAAUCUCAGCCCAAAAAAGGACGUUUAGUAAUUCUAAAAGGGACUAUAGGAUGAAAAACAAUAGUUUUGGCAGUUAAAGUUUGAGAUUCGACGGUGCCGUAGAUCCGUUUGGUCAUCACGUGUUACAAGCCACACCCAUGUCUAGCUAGAGUAGUGUGCUAGGCUCAGACUAUAGAAGAAACGGGGACCAAACUGAUGAAAGAAUGAUCAAACCGAGGAAAUUCACUCAGAACUAACAAUAAUGAUAACAUGCUCCGACUGGAGCGGUUUAGGAACUACUGGAAGGCUCUAGGGGAAUAAAGAUGGAAUGACUUCUAAAUUUUUAGGUCCGUAUGAUUUUAAAUAGUUGCACACAAACUGCGCGAAAGCGUUCCUGGAAAUCUCAGCCCAAAAAAGGACGUUUAGUAAUUCUAAAAGGGACUACAGGAUGAAAAACAAUAGUUUGGGCAGUUAAAAUUUGAGAUUCGACGGUGCCGUAGAUCCGUUUGGUCAUCAGGUGUUACGAGCCACACCCAUGUCUAGCUAGAGUAGUGUGCUAGGCUCAGGCUAGAGAAGAAACAGGGAACAAACUGAUGAAAGAAUGAUCAUACCGAGGGAAUUCACUCAGAACUAACAAGAAUGAUAACGUGCUCUGACUGGAGCGGUUUAAGAACUGUUGGAAGGCUCUAGGGGAAUAAAGAUGGAAUCACUUCAAAUUUUUACGUCCGUGUGAUUUGAAAUACUUGCACACAAACCGCACGAAAGCGUUCCUGGAAAUCUCAGCCCAAAAAAGGACGUUUAGUAAGUCUAAAAGGGACUACACGAUGAAAAACAAUAGUUUUGGCAGUUAAAGUUUGAGAUUCGACAGUGCCGUAGAUCCGUUUGGUCAUCAGGUGUAACGAGCCACACCCAUGUCUAGAUAGAGUAGUGUGCUAGGCUCAAACUAGAGAAGAAACGGGGAACAAACUGAUGAAAGAAUGAUCAUACCGAGGGAAUUCACUCAGAAAUAACAAGAAUGAUAACGUGCUCUGACUGGAGCGGUUUAGGAACUGCUGGAAGGCUCUAGGGGAAUAAAGAAGGAAUGACUUCUAAUUUUUAGGUCCGUAUGAUUUGAAAUACGUGCACACAAACCCCGAGAAAGCGUUCCUGGAAAUCUCGACCCAAAAAAGGACGUUUAGUAAUUCUAAAAGGGACUACGGGAUGAAAAACAAUAGUUUUGGCAGUUAAAGUUUGAGAUUCGAUAAUGCCGUAGAUCCAUUUGGUCAUCAGGUGUAACGAGCCACACCCAUGUCUAGCUAGAGUAGUGUGCUAGGCUCAGACUAGAGAAGAAACAGGGAACAAACUGAUGAAAGAAUGAUCAUAUCGAGGGAAUUCACUCAGAACUAACAAGAAUGAUAACAUGCUCCGACUUGAGCGGUUUAGGAACUGCUGGAAGGCUCUAGGGGAAUAAAGAUGGAAUGACUUCUAAUUUUUAGGUCCGUAUGAUUUGAAAUACUUACACACAAACCACGCGAAAGCGUUCCUGGAAAUCUCAGCCCAAAAAAGGACGUUUAGUAAUUCUAAAAGGGACUACAUGAUGAAAAACAAUAGUUUUCGCAGUUAAAGUUUGAGAUUCGACGGUGCCGUAGAUCCGUUUGGUCAUCAAGUGUUACGAGCCACACCCAUGUCUAGCUAGAAUAGUGUGUUAGGCUCAGCCUAGAGAAGAAACGGGGAACAAACUGAUGAAAGAAUGAUCAUACCGAGGGAAUUCACUCAGAACUUACAAGAAUGAUAACGUGCUCCGACUUGAGCGGUUUAAGAACUGUUGGAAGGCUCUAGGGGAAUAAAGAUGGAAUCACUUCAAAUUUUUACGUCCGUGUGAUUUGAAAUACUUGCACACAAACCCCGAGAAAGCGUUCCUGGAAAUCUCGGCCGAAAAAAGGAUGUUUAAUAAUUCUAAAAGGGACUACAGGAUGAAAAACAAUAGCUUUGGCAGUUAAAGUUUGUGAUUCGAUGGUGCCGUAGAUCUGUUUGGUCAUCAGGUGUUAUGAGCCACACCCAUGUCUAGCUAGAAUAGUGUGUUAGGCUCAGGCUAGAGCAGAAACUAGGAACAAACUUAUGAAAGAAUGAUCAUACCGAGGGAAUUCACUCAGAACUAACAAGAAUGAUAACGUGCUCCGACUGGAGCGGUUUAGGAACUGCUGGAAGGCUCUAGGGGAAUAAAGAUGGAAUGACUUCUAAUUUUUAGGUCCGUAUGAUUUGAAAUACAUGCACACAAACCCCAAGAAAGCGUUCCUAGAAAUCUCAGCCCAAAAAGGACGUUUAGUAAUUCUAAAAGGGACUACAGGAUGAAAAACAAUAGGUUUGGCAGUUAAAGUUUGAGAUUCGAUAAUGCCGUAGAUCCGUUUGGUCAUCAGGUGUAACGAGCCACACCCAUGUCUAGCUACAUUAGUGUGCUAGGCUCAGACUAGAGAAGAAACGGGGAACAAACUGAUGAAAGAAUGAUCAUACCGAGGGAAUUCACUCAGAACUAACAAGAACGAUAACAUGCUCCGACUGCAGCGGUUUAGGAACUGCUGGAAGGCUCUAGGGGAAUAAAGAAGGAAUGACUUCUAAUUUUUAGGUCCGUAUGAUUUGAAAUACUUGCACACAAACCGCGCGAAAGCAUUCCUGGAAAUCUCAGCCCAAAAAAGGACGUUUAGUAAUUCUAAAAGGGACUACAGGAUGAAAAACAAUAAUUUUGGCAGUUAAAGUUUGAGAUUCGACGGUGCCGUAGAUCCGUUUGGUCAUCAGGUGUUACGGGCCAUACCCAUGUCUAGCUAGAAUAGUGUGUUAGGCUCAGGUUAGAGAAGAAACGGGGAACAAAGUGAUGAAAGAAUGAUCAUACCGAGGGAAUUCACUCAGAACUAACAAGAAUGAUAACGUGCUCCGACUGGAGCGGUUUAGGAAUUGCUGGAAGGCUCUAGGGGAAUAAAGAUGGAAUGACUUCUAUAUUUUACGUCCGUAUGAUUUGAAAUACUUGCACACAAACCACGCAAAAGCACUCCUGGAAAUAUCAGCCUAAAAAGGAUGUUUAGUAAUUCUAAAAGGGACUACAGGAUGAAAAAUAAUAGUUUUGGCAGUUAAAAUUUGAGAUUCAACGGUGCCGUAAAUCCGUUUGGUCAUCAGGUGUUACGAGCCACACCCAUGUCUAGCUAGAAUAGUGUGUUAGGCUCAGGUUAGAGAAGAAACGGGGAACAAACUGAUGAAAGAAUGAUCAUACAAGGGGAAUUCACUCAGAACUAUCAAGAAUGAUAACGUGCUCCGACUGGAGCAGUUUAGGAACUGCCGGAAGGCUCUAGGGGAAUAAAGAUGGAAUGACUUCUAAUUUUUAUGUCCGUAUGAUUUGAAAUACUUGCACACAAACCACGCAAAAGCGUUCCUGGAAAUCUCAGCCUAAAAAGGACGUUUAGUAAUUCUAAAAGGGACUACAGGAUGAAAAACAAUAGUUUGGGCAGUUAAAAUUCGAGAUUCGACGGUGCCGUAGAUCCGUUUGGUCAUCAGGUGUUACGAGCCACACCCAUGUCUAGCUAGAAUAGUGUGUUAGGCUCAGGCUAGAGAAGAAACGGGGAACAAACUGAUGAAAGAAUGAUCAUAUCGAGGGAAUUCACUCAGAACUAACAAGAAUGAUAACGUGCUCCGACUGGAGCGGUUUAGUAACUGCUGGAAGGCUCUAGGGGAAUAAAGAUGGAAUGACUUCUAAUUAUUAGGUCCGUAAGAUUUGAAUUACAUGCACACAAACCCCGAGAAAGCGUUCCUGGAAAUCUCGGUCGAAAAAAGGAUGUUUAGUAAUUCUAAAAGGGACUACAGGAUGAAAAACAAUAGUUUUGGCAGUUAAAGUUUGUGAUUCGAUGGUGCCGUAGAUCUGUUUGGUCAUCAGGUGUUACGAGCCACACCCAUGUCUAGCUAGAAUAGUGUGUUAGGCUCAGGCUAGAGCAGAAACGGGGAACAAACUUAUGAAAGAAUGAUCAUGCCGAGGGAAUUCACUCAGAACUAACAAGAAUGAUAACGUGCUCCGACUGGAGCGGUUUAGGAACUGCUGGAAGGCUCUAGGGGAAUAAAGAUGGAAUGACAUCAAAUUUUUAGGUCCGUAUGAUUUGAAAUACUUGCACACAAACCGCAAGAAAGCGUUCUUGGAAAUCUCCGCCCAAAAAAGGACGUUUAGUAAUUCUAAAAGGGUCUACAGGAUGAAAAACAAUAGUUCUGGCAGUUAAAGUUUGAGAUUCGAUAAUGUCGUAGAUCCGUUUGGUCAUCAGGCGUAACGAGCCACACCCAUUUCUAGCUAGAGUAGUGUGCUAGGCUCAGACUAGAGAAGAAACGGGGAACAACCUGAUGAAAGAAUGAUCAUACCGAGGGAAUUCACUCAGAACUAACAAGAAUGAUAACGUGCUCCGACUGGAGCGGUUUAGGAACUGCUGGAAGGCUCUACGGGAAUAAAGAAGGAAUGACUUCUAAUUUUUAGGUCCGUAUGAUUUGAAAUACGUGCACACAAACCCCGAGAAAGCGUUCCUGGAAAUCUCGGCCCAAAAAAGGACGUUUAGUAUUCUAAAAGCGACUACAGAAUGAAAAACAAUAGUUUUGGUAGUUAAAGUUUGAGAUUUAACGGUGCCGUAGAUCUGUUUGGUCAUCAGGUGUUACGAGCCACACCCAUGUCUAGCUAGAAUAGUGUGUUAGGCUCAGGCUAGAUAAGAAACAGGGAACAAAGUGAUGAAAGAAUGAUCAUACCAAGGGAAUUCACUCAGAACUAACAAGAACGAUAACAUGCUCCGACUGGAGUGGUUUAGGAACUGCUGGAAGGCUCUAGGGGAAUAAAGAUGGAAUGACUUCUAAUUUUUAGGUCUGUAUGAUUUGAAAUACUUGCACACAAACCGCACGAAAGCGUUCCUGGAAAUCUCAUCCCAAAAAAGGACGUUUAGUAAUUCUAAAAGGGACUACAGGAUGAAAAACAAUAGUUUUGGCAGUUAAAGUUUGAGAUUCGAUAAUGCUGUAGAUCCGUUUGGUCAUCAGGUGUAACGAGCCACACCCAUGUCUAGCUAGAGUAGUGUGCUAGGCUCAGACUAGAGAAGAAACGGGGAACAAACUGAUGAAAGAAUGAUCAUACCGAGGGAAUUCACUCAGAACUAACAAUAAUGAUAACGUGCUCCGACUGGAGCGGUUUAGGAACUGCUGGAAGGCUCUAGGGGAAUAAAGAUGGAAUGAGUUCUAAUUUUUAGGUCUGUAUGAUUUGAAAUACUUGCACACAAACCGCGUGAAAGCAUUCCUGGAAAUUUCAGCCCAAAAAAGGACGUUUAGUAAUUUUAAAAGGGACUACACGAUGAAAAACAAUAGUUUUGGCAGUUAAAGUUUGAGAUUCGACGGUGCCGUAGAUCCGUUUGGUCAUCAGGUGUUACGAGCCACACCCAUGUCUAGCUAGAAUAGUAUGUUAGGCUCGGGUAAGAGAAGAAACGGGGAACAAACUGAUGAAAGAAUGAUCAUACCAAGGGAAUUCACUCAGAACUAACAAGAAUGAUAACGUGCUCCGACUGGAGCGGUUUAGGAACUGCUGGAAGGCUCUAGGGGAAUAAAGAUGGAAUGACUUCUAAUUUUUACGUUCGUAUGAUUUGAAAUACUUGCACACAAACCACGCAAAAGCGUUCCUGGAAAUCUCAUCCUAAAAAAGGACGUUUAGUAAUUCUAAAAGGGACUACAGGAUGAAAAAUAAUAGUUUGGGCAGUUAAAAUUUGAGAUUCGACGGUGCCGUAGAUCCGUUUGGUCAUCAGGUGUUACGAGCCACACCCAUGUCUAGCUAGAAUAGUGUGUUAGGCUCAGGCUAGAGAAGAAACGGGGAACAAACUGAUGAAAGAAUGAUCAUAUCGAGGGAAUUCACUCAGAACUAACAAGAAUGAUAACGUGCUCCGACUGGAGCAGUUUAGAAACUGCUGGAAGGCUCUAGGGGAAUAAAGAUGGAAUGACUUCUAAUUUUUAGGUCUGUAUGAUUUGAAAUACGUGCACACGAACCCCGAGAAAGCGUUCCUGGAAAUCUCGGCCCAAAAAAGGACGUUUAGUAAUUCUAAAAGGGACUACAGGAUGAAAAACAAUAGUUUUGGCAGUUAAAGUUUGAGAUUCGACGGUGCCGUAGAUCCGUUUGUUCAUCAGGUGUUACGAGCCACACCCAUGUCUAGCUAGAAUAGUGUGUUAGGCUCAGGCUAGAGAAGAAACGGGGAACAAACUGAUGAAAGAAUGAUCAUACCGAGGGAAUUCACUCAGAACUAACAAGAAUGAUAACGUGCUCCGACUGGAGCGGUUUAGGAACUGCUAGAAGGCUCUAGGGGAAUAAAGAAGGAAUGACUUCUAAUUUUUAGGUCCGUAUGAUUUGAAAUACGUGCACACAAACCCCGAGAAAGCGUUCCUGGAAAUCUUGGCCCAAAAAAGGACGUUUAGUAUUCUAAAAGCGACUACAGAAUGAAAAACAAUAGUUUUGCUAGUUAAAGUUUGAGAUUUGAUGGUGCCGUAGAUCUGUUUGGUCAUCAGGUUUUACGAGCCACACCCAUGUCUAGCUAGAAUAGUGUGUUAGGCUCAGGCUAGAAAAGAAACAGGGAAUAAAGUGAUGAAAGAAUGAUCAUACCAAGGGAAUUCACUCAGAACUAACAAGAACGAUAACAUGCUCCGACUGGAGUGGUUUAGAACUGCUGGAAGGCUAAAGGGGAAUAAAGAUGGAAUGACUUCUAAUUUUUAGGUCCGUAUGAUUUGAAAUACUUGCACACAAACCGCACGAAAGUGUUCCUGGAAAUCUCAGCCCAAAAAAGGACGUUUAGUAAUUCUAAAAGGGACUACAGGAUGAAAAACAAUAGUUUUGGCAGUUAAAGUUUGAGAUUCGAUAAUGACGUAGAUCCGUUUGGUCAUCAGGUGUAACGAGCCACACCCAUGUCUAGCUAGAGUAGUGUGCUAGGCUCAGACUAGAGAAGAAACGGGGAACAAACUGAUGAAAGAAUGAUCAUACCGAGGGAAUUCACUCAGAACUAACAAUAAUGAUAACGUGCUCCGACUAGAGCGGUUUAGGAACUGCUGGAAGGCUCUAGGGGAAUAAAGAUGGAAUGACUUCUAAUUUUUAGGUCCCUAUGAUUUGAAAUACUUGCACACAAACCGCGUGAAAGCAUUCCUGGAAAUUUCAGCCCAAAAAAGGACGUUUAGUAAUUUUAAAAGGGACUACACGAUGAAAAAGAAUAGUUUUGGCAGUUAAAGUUUGAGAUUCGACGGUGCCGUAGAUCCGUUUGGUCAUCAGGUGUUACGAGACACACCCAUGUCUAGCUAGAAUAGUAUGUUAGGCUCGGGUUAGAGAAGAAACGGGGAACAAACUGAUGAAAGAAUGAUCAUACCAAGGGAAUUCACUCAGAACUAACAAGAAUGAUAACGUGCUCCGACUGGAGCGGUUUAGGAACUGCUGGAAGGCUCUAGGGGAAUAAAGAUGGAAUGACUUCUAAUUUUUACGUUCGUAUGAUUUGAAAUACUUGCAAACAAACCACGCAAAAGCGUUCCUGGAAAUUUCAUCCUAAAAAAGGACGUUUAGUAAUUCUAAAAGGGACUACAGGAUGAAAAAUAAUAGUUUGGGCAGUUAAAAUUUGAGAUUCGAUGGUGCCGUAGAUCCGUUUGGUCAUCAGGUGUUACGAGCCACACCCAUGUCUAGCUAGAAUAGUGUGUUAGGCUCAGGCUAGAGAAGAAACGGGGAACAAACUGAUGAAAGAAUGAUCAUAUCGAGGGAAUUCACUCAGAACUAACAAGAAUGAUAACGUGCUCCGACUGGAGCAGUUUAGAAACUGCUGGAAGGCUCUAGGGGAAUAAAGAUGGAAUGACUUCUAAUUUUUAGGUCUGUAUGAUUUGAAAUACGUGCACACAAACCCCGAGAAAGCGUUCCUGGAAAUCUCGUCCGGAAAAAGGAUGUUUAAUAAUUCUAAAAGGGACUACAGGAUGAAAAACAAUAGUUUUGGCAGUUAAAGUUUGUGAUUCGAUGGUGCCGUAGAUCUGUUUGGUCAUCAGGUGUUACGGGCCACACCCAUGUCUAGCUAGAAUAGUGUGUUAGGCUCAGGCUAGAGCAGAAACGGGGAGCAAACUUAUGAAAGAAUGAUCAUAGCGAGGGAAUUUACUCAGAACUAACAAGAAUGAUAACGUGCUCCGACUGGAGCGGUUUAGGAACUGCUGGAAGGCUCUAGGGGAAUAAAGAUGGAAUGACUUCAAAUUUUCAGGUAUGUAUGAUCUGAAAUACUUGCACACAAACCGCGAGAAAGCGUUCCUGGAAAUCUCAACCCAAAAAAGGAUGUUUAGUAAUUCUAAAAGGGACUACAGGAUUAAAAACAAUAGUUUUGGCAGUUAAAGUUUGAGAUUCGAUAAUGUCGUAGAUCCGUUUGGUCAUCAGGUGUAACGAGCCACACCCAUGUCUAGCUAGAGUAGUGUGCUAGGCUCAUACUAGAGAAGAAACGGGGAACAAACUGAUGAAAGAAUGAUCAUACCGAGGGAAUUCACUCAGAACUAACAAGAAUGAUAACGUGCUCCGACUGGAGCGGUUUAGGAACUGCUGGAAGGCUCUAGGGGAAUAAAGAUGGAAUGACUUCUUAUUUUUAGGUCCGUAUGAUUUGAAAUACAUGCACACAAACCCCAAGAAAGCGUUCCGGGAAAUCUCGGCCCAAAGAAUGAUGUUUAGUAAUUCUAAAAGGGACUAUAGAAUGAAAAACAAUAGUUUUGGCAGUUAAAGUUUGAGAUUUGACGGUGUCGUAGAUCUGUUUGGUCAUCAGGUGUUACGAGCCACACCCAUUUCUAGCUAGAAUAGUGUGUUAGGCUCAGGCUAGAAAAGAAACGGGGAACAAAGUGAUGAAAGAAUGAUCAUACCGAGGGAAUUCACUCAGAACUAACAAGAAUGAUAACAUGCUCCGACUAGAGCGGUUUAGGAACUGCUGGAAGGCUCUAGGGGAAUAAAUAUGGAAUGACUUCUAAUUUUCAGGUCCGUAUGAUUUGAAAUACUUGCACACAAACCGCGCGAAAGCGUUCCUGGAAAUCUCAUCCCAAAGAAGGUCGUUUAGUAAUUCUAAAAGGGACUACAGGAUGAAAAACAAUAGUUUUGGCAAUUUAAGGUUUGAGAUUCGACGGUGCCGUAGAUCCGUUUGGUCAUCAGGUGUUACGAGCCACACCCAUGUCUAGCUAGAAUAGUGUGCUAGGCUCAGGCUAGAGAAGAAACAGGGAACAAACUGAUGAAAGAAUGAUCAAACCGAGGGAAUUCACUCAGAACUAACAAUAAUGAUAACGUUCUCCGUCUGGAGCGGUUUAGGAACUGCUGGAAGGCUCUAGGGGAAUAAAGAUGGAAUGACUUCUAAUUUUUAGGUCCGUAUGAUUUGAAAUACUUGCACACAAACCGCGCCAAAUCGUUCCUGGAAAUCUCAGCCCAAAAAAGGACGUUUAGUAAUUCUAAAAGGGACUACAGGAUGAAAAACAAUAGUUUUGGCAGUUAAAGUUUGAGAUUCGAUGGUGCCGUAGACCCGUUUGGUCAUCAGGUGUUACGAGCCACACCCAUGUCUAGCUAGAGUAGUGUGCUAGGUUCAGACUAGAGAAGAAACAGGGAACAAAGUGAUGAAAGAAUGAUCAUACCGAGGGAAUUCACUCAGAACUAACAAGAAUGAUAACGUGCUCCGACUGGAGCGGUUUAGGAACUGCUGGAAGGCUCUAGGGGAAUAAAGAUGGAAUGACUUCUAAUUUUUACGUCCGUAUGAUUUGAAAUACUUGCACACAAACCACGCAAAAGCGUUCCUGGAAAUCUCAGCCUAAAAAAGGACGUUUAGUAAUUCAAAAAGGGACUACAAAAUGAAAAACAAUAGUUUUGGCAGUUAAAGUUUGAGAUUCGAUGGUGCCGUAGAUCCGUUUGGUCAUCAGGUGUUACGAGCCACACCCAUGUCUAGCUAGGAUAGUGUGUUAGGCUCAGGCUAGAGAAGAAACGGGGAACAAACUGAUGAAAGAAUGAUCAUACCGAGGGAAUUCACUCAGAACUAACAAGGAUGAUAACAUGCUCCGACUAGAGCGGUUUAGGAACUGCUGGAAGGCUCUAGGGGAAUAAAGAUGGAAUGACUUCUAAUUUUUAGGUCCGUAUGAUUUGAAAUACUUGCACACAAACCGCAAGAAAGCGUUCCUGGAAAUCUCAGCCCAAAAAAGGACGUUUAGUAAUUCUAAAAGGGACUACAGGAUGAAAAACAAUAGUUCUGGCAGUUAAAGUUUGAGAUUCGAUAAUGCCGUAGAUCUGUUUGGUCAUCAGGUGUAACGAGCCACACCCAUGUCUAGCUAGAGUAGUGUGCUAGGCUCAGACUAGAGAAGAAACGGGGAACAAACUGAUGAAAGAAUGAUUAUACCGAGGGAAUUCACUCAGAACUAACGAGAAUGAUAACGUGCUCCGACUGGAGCGGUUUAGGAACUGCUGGAAGGCUCUAGGGGAAUAAAGAUGGAAUGACUUCAAAUUUUUAGGUCUGUAUGAUUUGAAAUACUUGCACACAAACCGCAAGAAAGCGUUCCUUGAAAUCUCAGCCCAAAAAAGGACGUUUAGUAAUUCUAAAAGGGACUACAGGAUGAAAAACAAUAGUUCUGGCAGUUAAAGUUUGAGAUUCGAUAAUGUCGUAGAUCCGUUUGGUCAUCAGGUGUAACGAGCCACACCCAUGUCUAGCUAGAGUAGUGUGCUAGGCUCAGAAUAGAGAAGAAACGGGGAACAAACUGAUGAAAGAAUGAUCAUACCGAGGGAAUUCACUCAGAACUAACAAGAAUGAUAACGUGCUCCGACUGGAGCGGUUUAGGAACUGCUGGAAGGCUCUAGGGGAAUAAAGAAGGAAUGACUUCUAAUUUUUAGGUCCGUAUGAUUUGAAAUACGUGCACACAAACCGCGCGAAAGCGUUCCUGGAAAUCUCAGCCAAAAAAAGGACGUUUAGUAUUCUAAAAGGGACUACAGAAUGAAAAACAAUAGUUUUGGCAGUUAAAGUUUGAGAUUCGACGGUGCUGUAGAUCCGUUUGGUCAUCAGGUGUUACGAGCCACACCCAUGUCUAGCUAGAAUAGUGUGCUAGGCUCAGGCUAGAGAAGAAAAGGGGAACAAACUAAUGAAAGAAUGAUCAAUCCGAGGGAAUUCACUCAGAACUAACAAUAAUGAUAACGUGCUCCGACUGGAGCGGUUUAGGAACUGCUGGAAGGCUCUAGGCGAAUAAAGAUGGAAUGACUUCUAAUUUUUACGUCCGUAUGAUUUGAAAUACUUGCACACAAACCACGCAAAAGCGUUCCUGGAAGUCUCGGCCUAAAAAGGACGUUUAGUAAUUCUAAAAGGGACUACAGGAUGAAAAAUAAUAGUUUGGGCAGUUAAAAUUUGAGAUUCGACGGUGCCGUAGAUCCAUUUGGUCAUCAAGUGUUACGAGCCACACCCAUGUCUAGCUAGAAUAGUGUGUUAGGCUCAGGCUAGAGAAGAAACGGGGAACAAACUGAUGAAAGAAUGAUCAUACCAAGGGAAUUCACUCAGAACUAACAAGAAUGAUAACGUGCUCCGACUGGAGCAGUUUAGAAACUGCUGGAAGGCUCUUGGGGAAUAAAGAUGGAAUGACUUCAAAUUUUUAGGUCCGUAUGAUUUGAAAUACUUGCACACAAACCACGCGAAAGCGUUCCUGGAAAUCUCAGCCCAAAAAAGGACGUUUAGUAAUUCUAAAAGGGACUACAUGAUGAAAAACAAUAGUUUUGGCAGUUAAAGUUUGAGAAUCGUCGGUGCCGUAGAUCCGUUUGGUCAUCAGCUGUAACGAGCCACACCCAUGUCUAGCUAGAGUAGUGUGCUAGGCUCAGACUAGAGAAGAAACAGGGAACAAAGUGAUGAAAGAAUGAUCAUACCGAGGGAAUUCACUUAGAACUAACAAGAAUGAUAACAUGCUCCGACUUGAGCGAUUUAGGAACUUCUGGAAGGCUCUAGGGGAAUAAAGAUGGAAUGACUCAAAUUUUUAGGCCCGUAUGAUUUGAAAUACAUGCACACAAACCGCGAGAAAGUGUUCCUGGAAAUCUUAGCCCAAAAAAGGACGUUUAGUAAUUCUAAAAGGGACUACAGGAUGAAAAACAAUAGUUUUGGUAGUUAAAGUUUCAGAUUCGAUAAUGCCCUAGAUCCGUUUGGUCAUCAGGUGUAACGAGCCACACCAAUGUCUAGCUAGAGUAGUGUGCUAGGCUCAGACUAGAUAAGAAACGGGGAAGAAACUGAUGAAAGAAUGAUCAGACCGAGGGAAUUCACUCAGAACUAACAAUAAUGAUAACGUGCUCCGAGUGGAGCGGUUUAGGAACUGCUGGAAGGCUCUAGGGGAAUAAAGAUGGAAUGACUUCUAAUUUUUAGGUCCGUAUGAUUUGAAAUACGUGCACACAAACCCCGAGAAACCGUUCCUUGAAAUCUCGGCCCAAAAAAGGACGUUUAGUAAUUCUAAAAGGGACUACAAAAUGAAAAACAAUAGUUUUGGCAGUUAAAGUUUGAGAUUCGACGGUGUCGUAGACCCGUUUGGUCUUCAGGUGUUACGAGCCACACCCAUGUCUAGCCAGAGUAGUGUGCUAGGUUCAGACUAGAGAAGAAACGGGGAACAAAGUGAUGAAAGAAUGAUCAUACCGAGGGAAUUCACUCAGAACUAACAAGAAUGAUAACGUGCUCCGACUGGAGCGGGUUAGGAACUCCUGGAAGGCUCUAGGGGAAUAAAGAUGGAAUGACUUCUAAUUUUUACGUCCGUAUGAUUUGAAAUACUUGCACACAAACCACGCAAAAGCGUUCCUGGAAAUCUCAGCCUAAAAAAGGACGUUUAGUAAUUCUAAAAGGGACUACAGGAUGAAAAAUAAUAGUUUGGUCAUCAGGUGUUACGAGCCACACCCAUGUCUAGCUAGAAUAGUGUGCUAGGCUCAGGCUAGAGAAGAAACGGGGAAUAAACUGAUGAAAGAAUGAUCAAACCGAGGGAAUUCACUCAGAACUAACAAUAAUGAUAACGUUCUCCGUCUGGAGCGGUUUAGGAACUGCUGGAAGGCUCUAGGGGAAUAAAGAUGGAAUGACUUCUAAUUUUUAGGUCCGUAUGAUACGAAAUACUUGCACACAAACCGCGCGAAAUCGUUCCUGGAAAUCUCAGCCCAAAAAAGGACGUUUAGUAAUUCUAAAAGGGACUACAGCAUGAAAAACAAUAGUUCUGGCAGUUAAAGUUUGAGAUUCGAUAAUGCCGUAGAUCCGUUUGGUCAUCAGGUGUAACGAGCCACACCCAUGUCUAGCUAGAGUAGUAUGCUAGGCUCAGACUAGAGAAGAAACGGGGAACAAACUGAUGAAAGAAUGAUUAUACCGAGGGAAUUCACUCAGAACUAACAAGAAUGAUAACGUGCUCCGGCUGGAGCGGUUUAGGAACUGCUAGAAGGCUCUAGGGGAAUAAAGAUGGAAUGACUUCAAAUUUUUAGGUCUGUAUGAUUUGAAAUACUUGCACACAAACCGCAAGAAAGCGUUCCUGGAAAUCUCAGCCCAAAAAAGGACGUUUAGUAAUUCUAAAAGGGACUAUAGGAUGAAAAACAAUAGUUCUGGUAGUUAAAGUUUGAGAUUCGAUAAUGUCAUAGAUCCGUUCGGUCAUCAGGUGUAACGAGCCACACCCAUGUCUAGCUAGAGUAGUGUGCUAGGCUCAGACUAGAGAAGAAACGGGGAACAAACUGAUGAAAGAAUGAUCAUACCGAGGGAAUUCACUCAGAACUAACAAGAAUGAUAACGUGCUCCGACUGGAGCGGUUUAGGAACUGCUGGAAGGCUCUAGGGGAAGAAAGAAGGAAUGACUUCUAAUUUUUAGGUCCGUAUGAUUUGAAAUACGUGCACACAAACCGCGCGAAAGCGUUCCUGGAAAUCUCAGCCCAAAAAAGGACGUUUAGUAUUCUAAAAGGGACUACAGAAUGAAAAACAAUAGUUUUGGCAGUUAAAGUUUGAGAUUCGACGGUGCCGUAGAUCCGUUUGGUCAUCAGGUGUUACGAGCCACACCCAUGUCUAGCUAGAAUAGUGUGCUAGGCUCAGGCUAGAGAAGAAAAGGGGAACAAACUGAUGAAAGAAUGAUCAAACCGAGGGAAUUCACUCAGAACUAACAAUAAUGAUAACGUGCUCCGACUGGAGCGGUUUAGGAACUGCUGGAAGGCUCUUGGCGAAUAAAGAUGGAAUGACUUCUAAUUUUUACGUCCGUAUGAUUUGAAAUACUUCCACACAAACCAGGCAAAGGCGUUCCUGGAAAUCUCGGCCUAAAAAGGACGUUUAGUAAUUCUAAAAGGGACUACAGGAUGAAAAAUAAUAGUUUGGGCAGUUAAAAUUUUAGAUUCGACGGUGCCGUAGAUCCGUUUGGUCAUCAGGUGUUACGAGCCACACCCAUGUCUAGCUAGAAUAGUGUGUUAGGCUCAGGCUAGAGAAGAAACGGGGAACAAACUGAUGAAAGAAUGAUCAUACCAAGGGAAUUCACUCAGAACUAACAAGAAUGAUAACGUGCUCCGACUGGAGCAGUUUAGAAACUACUGGAAGGCUCUAGGGGAAUAAAGAUGGAAUGACUUCAAAUUUUUAGGUCCGUAUGAUUUGAAAUACUUGCACACAAACCGCGCGAAAGCGUUCCUGGAAAUCUCAGCCCAAAAAAGGACGUUUAGUAAUUCUAAAAGGGACUACAUGAUGAAAAACAAUAGUUUUGGCAGUUAAAGUUUGAGAUUCGUCGGUGCCGUAGAUCCGUUUGGUCAUCAGCUGUAACGAGCCACACCCAUUUCUAGCUAGAGUAGUGUGCUAGGCUCAGACUAAAGAAGAAAUGGGGAACAAAGUGAUGAAAGAAUGCUCAUACCGAGGGAAUUCACUCAGAACUAACAAGAAUGAUAACAUGCUCCGACUUGAGCGAUUUAGGAACUUCUGGAAGGCUCUAGGGGAAUAAAGAUGGAAUGACUCAAAUUUUUAGGUCCGUAUGAUUUGAAAUACUUGCACACAAACCGCGAGAAAGCGUUCCUGGAAAUCUCAGCCCAAAAAAGGACGUUUAGUAAUUCUAAAAGGGACUACAUGAUGAAAAACAAUAGUUUUGGCAGUUAAAGUUUGAGAUUUGAUAAUGCCGUAGAUCCGUUUGGUCAUCAGGUGUAACGAGCCACACCCAUGUCUAGCUAGAGUAGUGUGCUAGGCUAAGACUAGAUAAGAAAAGGGGAAGAAACUUAUGAAAGAAUGAUCAGACCGAGGGAAUUCACUCAGAACUAACAAUAAUGAUAACGUGCUCCGACUGGAGCGGUUUAGGAACUGCUGGAAGGCUCUAGGGGAAUAAAGAUGGAAUGACUUCUAAUUUUUAGGUCCGUAUGAUUUGAAAUACGUGCACACAAACCCCGAGAAACCGUUCCUGGAAAUCUCGGCCCAAAAAAGGAUGUUUAGUAAUUCUAAAAGGGACUACAAAAUGAAAAACAAUAGUUUUGGCAGUUAAAGUUUGAGAUUUGAUGGUGCCGUAGAUCUGUUUGGUCAUCAGGUGUUACGAGCCACACCCAUGUCUAGCUAGAAUAGUGUGUUAGGCUCAGGCUAGAAAAGAAACGGGAAACAAAGUGAUGAAAGAAUGAUCAUACCGAGGGAAUUCACUCAGAACUAACAAGAAUGAUAACAUGCUCUGACUGGAGCGGUUUAGGAACUGCUGGAAGGCUCUAGGGGAAUAAAGAUGGAAUGACUUCUAAUGUUUAGGUCCGUAUGAUUUGAAAUACUUGCACAUAAACCGCGCAAAAGCGUUCCUGGAAAUCUCAGCCCAAAAAAGGACGUUUAGUAAUUCUAAAAGGGACUACAGGAUGAAAAACAAUAGUUUUGGCAGUUAAAGUUUGAGAUUCGACGGUGCCGUAGAUCCGUUUGUUCAUCAGGUGUUACGAGCCACACCCAUGUCUAGCUAGAAUAGUGUGUUAGGCUCAGGCUAGAGAAGAAACGGGGAACAAACUGAUGAAAGAAUGAUCAAACCGAGGGAAUUCACUCAGAACUAACAAUAAUGAUAACGUGCUCCGACUAGAGCGGUUUAGGAACUGCUGGAAGGCUCUAGGGGAAUAAAGAUGGAAUGACUUCUAAUUUUUAGGUCUGUAUGAUUUGAAAUACUUGCACGCAAACCGCGCGAAAGCGUUCCCGGAAAUAUCAGCCUAAAGAAGGACGUUUAGUAAUUCUAAAAGGGACUACAGGAUGAAAAACAAUAGUUUUGGCAGUUAAAGUUUGAGAUUCAACGGUGCCGUAGAUCCGUUUGGUCAUCAGGUGUUACGAGCCACACCCAUGUCUAGCUAGAGUAGUGUGCUAGGCUCAGGCUAGAGAAGAAACAGGGAACAAACUGAUGAAAGAAUGAUCAUACCGAGGGAAUUCACUCAGAACUGAUGAAAGAAUGAUCAAACCAAGGAAAUUCACUCAGAACUAACAAUAAUGAUAACAUGCUCCGACUGGAGCGGUUUAGGAACUGCUGGAAGGCUCUAGGGGAAUAAAGAUGGAAUGACUUCUAAUUUUUAGGUCCGUAUGAUUUGAAAUACGUGCACACAAACCCCGAGAAACCGUUCCUGGAAAUCUCGGCCCAAAAAAGGACGUUUAGUAAUUCUAAAAGGGACAACAAAAUGAAAAACAAUAGUUUUGGCAGUUAAAGUUUGAGAUUCGACGGUGCCGUAGACCCGUUUGGUCAUCAGGUGUUACGAGCCACACCCAUGUCUAGCUAGAGUAGUGUGCUAGGUUCAGACUAGAGAAGAAACGGGGAACAAAGUGAUGAAAGAAUGAUCAUACCGAGGGAAUUCACUCAGAACUAACAAGAAUGAUAACGUGCUCCGACUGGAGCGGGUUAGGAAUUGCUGGAAGGCUCUAGGGGAAUAAAGAUAGAAUGACUUCUAAUUUUUACGUCCGUAUGAUUUGAAAUACUUGCACACAAACCACGCAAAAGCGUUCCUAGAAAUCUCAGCCUAAAAAAGGACGUUUAGUAAUUCUAAAAGGGACUACAGGAUGAAAAAUAAUAGUUUGGCCAGUUAAAAUUUAAGAUUCGACGGUGCCGUAGAUCCGCUUGGUCAUCAGGUGUUACGAGCCACACCCAUGUCUAGCUAGAAUAGUGUGUUAGGCUCAGGCUAGAGAAGAAACGGGGAACAAACUGAUGAAAGAAUGAUCAUACCGAGGGAAUUCACUCAGAACUAACAAGAAUGAUAACAUGCUCCGACUGGAGCGGUUUAGGAACUGCUGGAAGGCUCUAGGGGAAUAAAGAUGGAAUGACUUCUAAUUUUUAGGUCCGUAUGAUUUGAAAUACUUGCACACAAACCGCAAGAAAGCGUUCCUGGAAAUCUCAGCACAAAAAAGGACGUUUAGUAAUUCUAAAAGGGACUACAGCAUGAAAAACAAUAGUUCUGGCAGUUAAAGUUUGAGAUUCGAUAAUGCCGUAGAUCCGUUUGGUCAUCAGGUGUAACGAGCCACACCCAUGUCUAGCUAGAGUAGUGUGCUAGGCUCAGACUAGAGAAGAAACGGGGAACAAAAUGAUGAAAGAAUGAUUAUACCGAGGGAAUUCACUCAGAACUAACAAGAAUGAUAACGUGCUCCGACUGGAGCGGUUUAGGAACUGCUGGAAGGCUCUAGGGGAAUAAAGAUGGAAUGACUUCAAAUUUUUAGGUCUGUAUGAUUUGAAAUACUUGCACACAAACCGCAAGAAAGCGUUCCUGGAAAUCUCAGCCCAAAAAUGGACGUUUAGUAAUUCUAAAAGGGACUAUAGGAUGAAAAACAAUAGUUCUGGCAGUUAAAGUUUGAGAUUCGAUAAUGUCGUAGAUCCGUUCGGUCAUCAGGUGUAACGAGCCACACCCAUGUCUAGCUAGAGUAGUGUGCUAGGCUCAGACUAGAGAAGAAACGGGGAACAAACUGAUGAAAGAAUGAUCAUACCGAGGGAAUUCACUCAGAACUAACAAGAAUGAUAACGUGCUCCGACUGGAGCGGUUUAGGAACUGCUGGAAGGCUCUAGGGGAAGAAAGAAGGAAUGACUUCUAAUUUUUAGGUCCGUAUGAUUUGAAAUACGUGCACACAAACCGCGCGAAAGCGUUCCUGGAAAUCUCAGCCCAAAAAAGGACGUUUAGUAUUCUAAAAGGGACUACAGAAUGAAAAACAAUAGUUUUGGCAGUUAAAGUUUGAGAUUCGACGGUGCCGUAGAUCCGUUUGGUCAUCAGGUGUUACGAGCCACACCCAUGUCUAGCUAGAAUAGUGUGCCAGGCUCAGGCUAGAGAAGAAAAGGGGAACAAACUGAUGAAAGAAUGAUCAAACCGAGGGAUUUCACUCAGAACUAACAAUAAUGAUAACGUGCUCCGACUGGAGCGGUUUAGGAACUGCUGGAAGGCUCUAGGCGAAUAAAGAUGGAAUGACUUCUAAUUUUUACGUCCGUAUGAUUUUAAAUACUUGCACACAAACCACGCAAAAGCGUUCCUGGAAAUCUCGGCCUAAAAAGGACGUUUAGUAAUUCUAAAAGGGACUACAGGAUGAAAAAUAAUAGUUUGGGCAGUUAAAAUUUGAGAUUCGACGGUGCCGUAGAUCCGUUUGGUCAUCAGGUGUUACGAGCCACACCCAUGUCUAGCUAGAAUAGUGUGUUAGGCUCAGGCUAGAGAAGAAACAGGGAACAAACUGAUGAAAGAAUGAUCAUACCAAGGGAAUUCACUCAGAACUAACAAGAAUGAUAACGUGCUCCGACUGGAGCAGUUUAGAAACUGCUGGAAGGCUCUAGGGGAAUAAAGAUGGGAUGACUUCAAAUUUUUAGGUCCGUAUGAUUUGAAAUACUUGCACACAAACCGCGCGAAAGCGUUCCUGGAAAUCGCAGCCCAAAAAAGGACGUUUAGUAAUUCUAAAAGGGACUACAUGAUGAAAAACAAUAGUUUUGGCAGUUAAAGUUUGAGAUUCGUCGGUGCCGUAGAUCCGUUUGGUCAUCAGCUGUAACGAGCCACACCCAUGUCUAGCUAGAGUAGUGUGCUAGGCUCAGACUAGAGAAGAAAUGGGGAAAAAAGUGAUGAAAGAAUGAUCAUACCGAGGGAAUUCACUCAGAACUAACAAGAAUGAUAACAUGCUCCGACAUGAGCGAUUUAGGAACUUCUGGAAGGCUCUAGGGGAAUAAAGAUGGAAUGACUCAAAUUUUUAGGUCCGUAUGAUUUGAAAUACUUGCACACAAACCGCGAGAAAGCGUUCCUGGAAAUCUCAGCCCAAAAAAGGACAUUUAGUAAUUCUAAAAGGGACUACAGGAUGAAAAACAAUAGUUUUGGCAGUUAAAGUUUGAGAUUUGAUAAUGCCGUAGAUCCGUUUGGUCAUCAGGUGUAACGAGCCACACCCAUGUCUAGCUAGAGUAGUGUGCUAGGCUAAGACUAGAUAAGAAACCGGGAAGAAACUAAUGAAAGAAUGAUCAGACCGAGGGAAUUCACUCAGAACUAACAAUAAUGAUAACGUGCUCCGACUGGAGCGGUUUAGGAACUGCUGGAAGGCUCUAGGGGAAUAAAGAUGAAAUGACUUCUAAUUUUUAGGUUCGUAUGAUUUGAAAUACAUGCACACAAACCCCGAGAAACCGUUCCUGGAAAUCUCGGCCCAAAAAAGGAUGUUUAGUAAUUCUAAAAGGGACUACAAAAUGAAAAACAAUAGUUUUGGUAGUUAAAGUUUGAGAUUUGAUGGUGCCAUAGAUCUGUUUGGUCAUCAGGUGUUACGAGCCACACCCAUGUCUAGCUAGAAUAGUGUGUUAGGCUCAGGCUAGAAAAGAAACGGGAAACAAAGUGAUGAAAGAAUGAUCAUACCGAGGGAAUUCACUCAGAACUAACAAGAAUGAUAACAUGCUCUGACUGGAGCGGUUUAGGAACUGCUGGAAGGCUCUAGGGGAAUAAAGAUGGAAUGACUUCUAAUGUUUAGGUCCGAGGUCCGUAUGAUUUGAAAUACUUGCACAUAAACCGUGCAAAAGCGUUCCUGGAAAUCUCAGCCCAAAAAAGGACGUUUAGUAAUUCUAAAAGGGACUACAGGAUGAAAAACAAUAGUUUUGGCAGUUAAAGUUUGAGAUUCGACGGUGCCGUAGAUCCGUUCGUUCAUCAGGUGUUACGAGCCACACCCAUGUCUAGCUAGAAUAGUGUGUUAGGCUCAGGCUAGAGAAGAAACGGGGAACAAACUGAUGAAAGAAUGAUCAAACCGAGGGAAUUCACUCAGAACUAACAAUAAUGAUAACGUGCUCCGACUAGAGCGGUUUAGGAACUGCUGGAAGGCUCUAGGGGAAUAAAGAUGGAAUGACUUCUAAUUUUUAGGUCUGUAUGAUUUGAAAUACUUGCACGCAAACCGCGCGAAAGCGUUCCCGGAAAUAUCAGCCCAAAAAAGGACGUUUAGUAAUUCUAAAAGGGACUACAGGAUGAAAAACAAUAGUUUUGGCAGUUAAAGUUUGAGAUUCAACGGUGCCGUAGAUCCGUUUGGUCAUCAGGUGUUACGAGCCACACCCAUGUCUAGCUAGAGUAGUGUGCUAGGCUCAGGCUAGAGAAGAAACAGGGAACAAACUGAUGAAAGAAUGAUCAUACCGAGGGAAUUCACUCAGAACUGAUGAAAGAAUGAUCAAACCGAGGAAAUUCACUCAGAACUAACAAUAAUGAUAACAUGCUCCGACUGGAGCGGUUUAGGAACUGCUGGAAGGCUCUAGGGGAAUAAAGAUGGAAUGACUUCUAAUUUUUAGGUCCGUAUGAUUUGAAAUACGGGCACACAAACCCCGAGAAACCGUUCCUGGAAAUCUCGGCCCGAAAAAGGACGUUUAGUAAUUCUAAAAGGGACUACAAAAUGAAAAACAAUAGUUUUGGCAGUUAAAGUUUGAGAUUCGACGGUGCCGUAGACCCGUUCGGUCAUCAGGUGUAACGAGCCACACCCAUGUCUAGCUAGAGUAGUGUGCUAGGCUCAGACUAGAGAAGAAACGGGGAACAAACUGAUGAAAGAAUGAUCAUACCGAGGGAAUUCACUCAGAACUAACAAGAAUGAUAACGUGCUCCGACUGGAGCGGUUUAGGAACUGCUAGAAGGCUCUAGGGGAAGAAAGAAGGAAUGACUUCUAAUUUUUAGGUCUGUAUGAUUUGAAAUACGUGCACACAAACCGCGCGAAAGCGUUCCUGGAAAUCUCAGCCCAAAAAAGGACGUUUAGUAUUCUAAAAGGGACUACAGAAUGAAAAACAAUAGUUUUAGCAGUUAAAGUUUGAGAUUCGACGGUGCCGUAGAUCCGUCUGGUCAUCAGGUGUUACGAGCCACACCCAUGUCUAGCUAGAAUAGUGUGCUAGGCUCAGGCUAGAGA
Molecule: long non-coding RNA, 41380 nt
Filed under: Triticum aestivum (bread wheat)
Lineage: Eukaryota; Viridiplantae; Streptophyta; Magnoliopsida; Poales; Poaceae
Description: long non-coding RNA (TAES_LNC019907)
Source: RNAcentral